Molecule: ribosomal RNA, 587 nt
Filed under: Trichoderma harzianum
Lineage: Eukaryota; Fungi; Ascomycota; Sordariomycetes; Hypocreales; Hypocreaceae
Description: eukaryotic LSU rRNA
Rfam family: 5.8S ribosomal RNA (bases 207-360)
Source: RNAcentral
UAUUACCGAGUUUACAACUCCCAAACCCAAUGUGAACGUUACCAAACUGUUGCCUCGGCGGGAUCUCUGCCCCGGGUGCGUCGCAGCCCCGGACCAAGGCGCCCGCCGGAGGACCAACCAAAACUCUUAUUGUAUACCCCCUCGCGGGUUUUUUUAUAAUCUGAGCCUUCUCGGCGCCUCUCGUAGGCGUUUCGAAAAUGAAUCAAAACUUUCAACAACGGAUCUCUUGGUUCUGGCAUCGAUGAAGAACGCAGCGAAAUGCGAUAAGUAAUGUGAAUUGCAGAAUUCAGUGAAUCAUCGAAUCUUUGAACGCACAUUGCGCCCGCCAGUAUUCUGGCGGGCAUGCCUGUCCGAGCGUCAUUUCAACCCUCGAACCCCUCCGGGGGGUCGGCGUUGGGGAUCGGCCCUCCCUUAGCGGGGUGGCCGUCUCCGAAAUACAGUGGCGGUCUCGCCGCAGCCUCUCCUGCGCAGUAGUUUGCACACUCGCAUCGGGAGCGCGGCGCGUCCACAGCCGUUAAACACCCAACUUCUGAAAUGUUGACCUCGGAUCAGGUAGGAAUACCCGCUGAACUUAAGCAUAUCAAUAA